Molecule: microRNA precursor, 110 nt
Filed under: Camelina sativa (false flax)
Lineage: Eukaryota; Viridiplantae; Streptophyta; Magnoliopsida; Brassicales; Brassicaceae
Description: miR161 stem-loop (cas-MIR161)
Gene: cas-MIR161
Source: miRBase by way of RNAcentral
GAUCAAUGCAUUGAAAGUGACUACAUCGGGGCUUUGAUUUUAUAUGUUGUCGGUCUCACGAUCCAAUCGAAUAAUCAGCCCCGGGUUUAGUCACCUUCACUGCAUUAAUC